RNAcentral lists this unclassified non-coding RNA (387 nucleotides) under soil metagenome. RNAcentral describes it as "partial contains 5.8S ribosomal RNA, internal transcribed spacer 2, and large subunit ribosomal RNA". The stretch from base 1 to 120 matches the Rfam family "5.8S ribosomal RNA", at positions 35 to 154 of the family's 154-position model. The record is from RNAcentral.
GAUGAAGAACGUAGCGAAAUGCGAUAAGUAAUGUGAAUUGCAGAAUUCAGUGAAUCAUCGAAUCUUUGAACGCACCUUGCACCCUUUGGUAUUCCGAAGGGUAUGCUCGUUUGAGUGUCAUUGUACUCUCACACUUCUAAUUCCUUUCGGGAUUGGGAGCGGUGGACUUGGGUGUUGCUGCUUUAGUUGUGGCUCACCUCAAAUAAGUUAGUGCAACUCUUGGUUGGACAUAGUACGGCGUGAUAAGUGUCUUCGCCGGCGCCUCUGUAAGGAGGGUGGCCGAUCGGGAGCUCUGUGCUUCAAACCGUCUUCGGACAAUCUUUGACAACUUGACCUCAAAUCGAGUAGGACUACCCGCUGAACAUAAGCAUAUCAAUAAGCGGAGGA